Molecule: unclassified non-coding RNA, 348 nt
Filed under: Hevea brasiliensis (rubber tree)
Lineage: Eukaryota; Viridiplantae; Streptophyta; Magnoliopsida; Malpighiales; Euphorbiaceae
Source: RNAcentral
GGACUGACCCAACUUACAGCUAUGAGAUACGGUUCGAUACCAGUUGUUCGAAAAACUGGAGGUGUGUCAUCCCUAGCUGCUUAGAUAUUUUGACAAUUUAAUUGUUCAUUAAAUUUCUAUAGUCCUAAUUAUUACCAUUCACUCCUUAGUUAAGCAACAGACCUAGAUUUUAUUAUUUCUUAUUCAACUACUCACAUGAUAUCCCUAUAUUACAAGUACCAACUAAUAAUAUUUGUGAGAUCCCAUAACUUUUCCUUCAUUCCAAAUCUGUGGUAAGCAAGAACCUAAGAGCUACAAUUUAUUUGACCACUAAUUUUGAUGUUUUUUCUAUAGGACUUUAUGACACUG